AUUGAACGCUGGCGGCAGGCCUAACACAUGCAAGUCGAGCGGAUGAAGGGAGCUUGCUCCUGGAUUCAGCGGCGGACGGGUGGGUAAUGCCUAGGAAUCUGCCUGUUAGUGGGGGAUAACGUCCGGAAACGGGCGCUAAUACCGCAUACGUCCUGAGGGAGAAAGUGGGGGAUCUUCGGACCUCACGCUAUCAGAUGAGCCUAGGUCGGAUUAGCUAGUUGGUGGGGUAAAGGCCUACCAAGGCGACGAUCCGUAACUGGUCUGAGAGGAUGAUCAGUCACACUGGAACUGAGACACGGUCCAGACUCCUACGGGAGGCAGCAGUGGGGAAUAUUGGACAAUGGGCGCAAGCCUGAUCCAGCCAUGCCGCGUGUGUGAAGAAGGUCUUCGGAUUGUAAAGCACUUUUAGUUGGGAGGAAGGGCAGUAAGUUAAUACCUUGCUGUUCUGACGUUACCAACAGAAUAAGCACCGGCUAACUUCGUG
RNAcentral lists this ribosomal RNA (484 nucleotides) under uncultured bacterium. RNAcentral describes it as "partial 16S ribosomal RNA". It matches the Rfam family "Bacterial small subunit ribosomal RNA", at positions 30 to 507 of the family's 1533-position model. The record is from RNAcentral.